UCGAACCCACCGCGAAUGGUGGUCGGAGCCGCACCCCAAAGAGUCUUGUUGGCUUUCUUCGCGCAGAUCUGGAGGCGUCGCAAGGUAAACCUCUUUUUUUUACCCUUUUUUCUGUAUAAAAAAAAUAAAAUCGAAGGAGCUGAGACAAAGAGAAUAAAUCGCUACCUUUAACCUCUAUUUUUCUUUUUCUCAGAUUGAUAUUGUGAAAAUACUUGUUUCUUUAUUGCUCUUUCGAAAUCCCCCCCUCCGUUACAGUAUAUUCGAUGGCCAUUUAUAGCCCUAAUAAAAUAAUAAACAAUCAAGAAACAAAUCUGUUUGAUAUUCAUUUGAUCUGCAAAUCCUUUUUCUUUCCAUAUGUUGUUGUUUCCUUUCUUGAUGUGCAGGUACGAAGAUCGUGGGAGAUUCGGAGGGCGAGGCUUUGGCUUGCGGCGCGAGUUUCCCCCUGAAACCCUAGGGUUUCCUGAAUCUGUUUUGGGCCACCGUAUUUGGGCCUCAAAAAUCGGGUCUGGAUUUGGGCCCUAUAGGUCCGUUGUAGUUUGGGUUUUUAGACCCGGGCCAAAAUCGGGUAUUACAUACAACAUGGCCAUAUUUAUA
This 594-nucleotide long non-coding RNA is filed under the name Gossypium barbadense (sea-island cotton). RNAcentral describes it as "long non-coding RNA (GBAR_LNC019987)". The record is from RNAcentral. Lineage: Eukaryota; Viridiplantae; Streptophyta; Magnoliopsida; Malvales; Malvaceae.